GGACCUGACUGCUAUCGGAUUGAUACUAAGCCAUGCGAGUCAUUGUAGCAAUACAAGGCAUACGGCUCAGUAACGCGUAGUCAACCUAACCUAUGGACGGGAAUAACCUCGGGAAACUGAGAAUAAUGCCCGAUAGAACAUUAUGCCUGGAAUGGUUUAUGUUCCAAAUGAUUUAUCGCCGUAGGAUGGGACUGCGGCCUAUCAGUUUGUUGGUGAGGUAAUGGCCCACCAAGACUAUUACAGGUACGGGCUCUGAGAGGAGUAGCCCGGAGAUGGGUACUGAGACACGGACCCAGGCCCUAUGGGGCGCAGCAGGCGAGAAAACUUUGCAAUGUGCGAAAGCACGACAAGGUUAAUCCGAGUGGUUUCUGCUAAAGAAACCUUUUGUCAGUCCUAGAAGCACUGAUGAAUAAGGGGUGGGCGAGUUCUGGUGUCAGCG
RNAcentral lists this ribosomal RNA (439 nucleotides) under uncultured archaeon. Its description in RNAcentral is "bacterial SSU rRNA". It matches the Rfam family "Archaeal small subunit ribosomal RNA", at positions 19 to 463 of the family's 1478-position model. The record is from RNAcentral.